This is a non-coding RNA of Geobacteraceae bacterium GWC2_53_11, 91 nucleotides long. NCBI's taxonomy places the organism in Bacteria, Pseudomonadati, Thermodesulfobacteriota, Desulfuromonadia, Geobacterales, Geobacteraceae. The record is from Rfam.
GAUAUAUUUAAAUCAACGAAAAUCUUGCGAGGAUUCCAACGAAUCCUCAUUUGCCCUGGUAACUUCCCCUCCUAGUUGCCAGGGUGUUUUU